This 433-nucleotide long non-coding RNA is filed under the name Vulpes vulpes (red fox). RNAcentral's name for it is "lncRNA (ENSVVUG00000023107.1)". The record is from RNAcentral. Lineage: Eukaryota; Metazoa; Chordata; Mammalia; Carnivora; Canidae.
AACAAGAUUGCCUAUGCAAUUCUAGAGUUUCACAGCUACAUAUUCAUGGAAACAUCCAUUGCCCUUUGAAUUAUAUACAGAAAGGCAAAUGUGGUGGAAGAGAAAUGACCAGAUAAUGGAUGGAGGAGAAAGGACACAGGCCUGCACUUACCGAGCAGAGAAGCAGAACCAAAAUAACUUCGGCUAUUGUGUUCUUUGUAGUCAAAGCCCUUCCCACCUCCACCAAAGGCAGAACCAAUCUCUGAAGCAAUCUCUGUGUGGAGAAGAAUUCAAAUUUCCCUGAUGGGCUACGACAAAGCUGGAGGAUACAGAAAUAUGACCACCCAAUCGCCCUGCCCCAGGCCCCCUGGCUGGUACACAGCUCCCUGGGAAAUGGGCUGAGAAAGCAAACGUCGUAUGUAAUAGAUGUUCAAUAAAUACAUGGAUAAUCCCA